GACGAACGCUGGCGGCGUGCUUAACACAUGCAAGUCGAACGGAAAGGCCCUGCUUUUGUGGGGUGCUCGUGUGGCGAACGGGUGAGUAACACGUGAGUAGCCUGCCCUUGACUUUGGGAUAACUUCAGGAAACUGGGGCUAAUACCGGAUAUGAACUCCUGCUACAUGGUGGGGGUUGGAAAACUUCGGCGGUUGGGGAUGGACUCGCGGUUUAUCAGCUUGUUGGUGGGGUAGUGGCUUACCAAGGCUUUGACGGGUAGCCGGCCUGAGAGGGUGACCGGCCACAUUGGGCCUGAGAUACGGCCCAGAGUCCUACUGGAGGCAGCAGUGGGGAAUAUUGCACAAUGGGCGGAAGCCUGAUGCAGCAACGCCGCGUGCGGGAUGACGGCCGGCGGGUUGUAACCCGCUUUCGCCUGUGACGAAGCGUGAGUGACGGUAAUGGGUAAAGAAGCACCGGCUAACUACGUG
RNAcentral lists this ribosomal RNA (468 nucleotides) under uncultured bacterium. RNAcentral's name for it is "partial 16S ribosomal RNA". It matches the Rfam family "Bacterial small subunit ribosomal RNA", at positions 28 to 507 of the family's 1533-position model. The record is from RNAcentral.